Molecule: long non-coding RNA, 441 nt
Organism: Syngnathoides biaculeatus (alligator pipefish)
Lineage: Eukaryota; Metazoa; Chordata; Actinopteri; Syngnathiformes; Syngnathidae
Exons: 3
Source: RefSeq, a predicted model, not a curated record
CCUACAGUCACCUUGGAAAUGGUGGUCCCACCUGUUUUCAGGUCAUUGACCAAGUCCUGUUGUGUAGUCCUGGUCUGCUUCCUCACCUUUCUAAGGAUCAUUGAGACCCCACGAGGUGAUAUCUUGCAUGAGGCUUGGACCUUUUCUCACCAAGCUGCUUGGCAAUUUCUCCGUAGCUCUUUCCUGCCGUAUGGUGUCUUCAUGCAGCUAACGACCUCACCCAGGUGCAUCUAAUUCAGGAUAAUACAUGGAGUGGAGGUGGACUUUUAAAGGUGGACUAACAGUACUUUGAUCGUCAGAAUUCUAGCUGAUACAAUUAUCUCUCUCACAGUGGACAUGUACCUACGGUGAAAAUUUCAGACCCCUCCAUGAUUUCAAAGUGGGAGAACUUGCAAUAUAGCAGGGUGUUCAAAUAGUUAUUUUCUUCACUGUCGGUAAGCA